This 467-nucleotide ribosomal RNA is filed under the name uncultured bacterium. RNAcentral's name for it is "partial 16S ribosomal RNA". It matches the Rfam family "Bacterial small subunit ribosomal RNA", at positions 28 to 506 of the family's 1533-position model. The record is from RNAcentral.
GACGAACGCUGGCGGCGUGCUUAACACAUGCAAGUCGAACGGAAAGGCCCUGCUUUUGUGGGGUGCUCGAGUGGCGAACGGGUGAGUAACACGUGAGUAACCUGCCCUUGACUUUGGGAUAACUUCAGGAAACUGGGGCUAAUACCGGAUAGGAGCUCCUGCUGCAUGGUGGGGGUUGGAAAGUUUCGGCGGUUGGGGAUGGACUCGCGGCUUAUCAGCUUGUUGGUGGGGUAGUGGCUUACCAAGGCUUUGACGGGUAGCCGGCCUGAGAGGGUGACCGGCCACAUGGGGACUGAGAUACGGCCCAGACUCCUCCGGGAGGCAGCAGUGGGGAAUAUUGCACAAUGGGCGGAAGCCGGAUGCAGCAACGCCGCGGGCGGGAUGACGGCCUUCGGGUGGUAAACCGCUUUCGCCUGUGACGAAGCGUGAGUGACGGUAAUGGGUAAAGAAGCACCGGCUAACUACGU